AUACGUAGGUGGCGAGCGUUGUCCGGAAUUACUGGGUGUAAAGGGCGUGUAGGCGGGAAUGUAAGUCAGAUGUGAAAUACCGUGGCUUAACCACGGGGCUGCAUCUGAAACUAUGUUUCUUGAGUGUCGGAGAGGCAGGCGGAAUUCCGUGUGUAGCGGUGAAAUGCGUAGAUAUACGGAGGAACACCAGUGGCGAAGGCGGCCUGCUGGACAUUAACUGACGCUGAGGCGCGAAAGCGUGGGGAGC
This 247-nucleotide ribosomal RNA is filed under the name uncultured bacterium. RNAcentral's name for it is "partial 16S ribosomal RNA". It matches the Rfam family "Bacterial small subunit ribosomal RNA", at positions 523 to 769 of the family's 1533-position model. The record is from RNAcentral.